UACGGAGGGUGCGAGCGUUGUUCGGAAUCACUGGGCGUAAAGGGCGUGUAGGCGGUCCGCUAAGUCUGAUGUGAAAGCCCGGGGCUCACCCCCGGAAGGGCAUUGGAAACUGACGGACUCGAGUCCCGAAGAGGAGGGUAACGGAAUUCACGGUGUAGCAGUGAAAUGCGUAGAUAUCGUGAGGAACACCAGAGGCGAAGGCGGUUACCUGGACAGUUACUGACGCUCAGGCACGAAAGCAUGGGGAGCAAAAGGG
This 256-nucleotide ribosomal RNA is filed under the name uncultured bacterium. Its description in RNAcentral is "partial 16S ribosomal RNA". It matches the Rfam family "Bacterial small subunit ribosomal RNA", at positions 524 to 776 of the family's 1533-position model. The record is from RNAcentral.